Molecule: long non-coding RNA, 2917 nt
Organism: Numida meleagris (helmeted guineafowl)
Lineage: Eukaryota; Metazoa; Chordata; Aves; Galliformes; Numididae
Exons: 6
Source: RefSeq, a predicted model, not a curated record
AAACCGUUAAGGCUGGGGAUGUUCUUCGGAAGUGUGAUUCUCUAUCAUUCUGUUUGUGUCAAAUGCAAAGGGAUCGGUUUGAAUUCGGUACAACUAUUUAACUUAUUUAUGAAUCCAGCAAUGAUGUGAGAAGGAGAAGAGCAUAACAGAUGUUAAUUUAAUGUGUCAUUAAAGGCCAUCAUUCGGAUCUUGAGUCCACAAGUCUAACUGUCAUGACCCAAGGCUAGCCCUAACAAGGCCCACCUGUGCUAAUGAAGCAAUGACUCCCAGGCACCAUGGGGCUGCUUGGGCACAGCUGCACCUUGUUGGGGUCCCAGGGCAGAGCCAGCCCCAAAGCCUCUUAAGCUCCACUGGAGGCUCCUAGGAGCCAUGAGGGAGUUCCUGGGGGGGGUCGGUCGGUCGGUCGGUCGGUCCGUCCGUCCGUCCGUCCUUCCUUCCUAAGUGGGAUUUGGCGCUGAUCCUUUGUCCUGUCUUAGUGUGGGUGGGGCUGAGAAGCAAUGAGAGAGGCUGCUUUUCAAAUGUAACUGUGGAGUGCGGGCUGUGGCAGAGCCUCUUGUUAGCCCAAACCAUUGAGAUCGGGUCCUGGUGCAGCUGGUGUCCCAAGAGGAAGGUCACCAUCCUUGGUAAGGAGCUGUGGAGUGUUACCUCUGUGUUGAGGCAGAAGCAGUGGAGCUGACCCAAGAGCUUUCUGGGAAUUACCUCUGGUUUCUAGCUAGUAACUUGAAAUAGUGCUUCUCAGUGAAACUCUGCAUCAAAACUCGUGAGCACCGAUCCCUAAUCACAUGCUCAGGUUACCGAGCCAAGAAGAGAAAUCCCUCCUGCAAACCUACACAAUGAACAUCAAACUACAGGGAUUUUUUUCAUUUAAAAAGAAAUAAAAGUAAGAAUAAGUGAUACAAGGCCCAUAGGAGGUCUUUUAAAUUUCUUCACCUGAUUUAGUGGUGUCAGCUCUUCCUAGGUACUGAAGUACUCAACAAAAACUGGUGGUAGAAGUAGGGAAAGUAAGGAAAGAAAAAGGUUUCAGAUAUGGUCUUGCCAAUCUUAUAGCUUACAGUGUAAGCUUUUUAUUUAGACAUGCUGGCCUUGGACGAGUCAUGCGGAACUGCUUCCCAGAGAGAAGCAGAAUCACUAAUCCUUCUAAAUGCUCUUCCCCAGAGACAAGAUCCCCCAAACUUCACUAGACUAGCAAAAGUGAGUGAGAAGGGUCAAACAAAUUCAAAGGAAGAUAAAAGGAGUUUGCCCAUUGCCUCUGCUGGGGAAGAUGGCUGUGGAGACAGGCUGACAGGCUUUUUUUUUUUUUUUAAUGACUGUUGUAAUGCUAUAAUGGGAUGGAAAAUAAUAUGAUAACAGCAGGGUGGCAAGAAGUCUUCGGCUACAGCAAAUGAGAACUAGCCCAAAUGCGGCAGACGCAGAAAGAAAAAGAGCUGCUUACCUUCUGAAGGCCUUGGGGGUACACAGGGAUCUCCAACAAGAGAUGGCCUCACCUCUGCUGCUGACCCUUAAAUGAGGUCUGGGAAGGGGUGGAUCCUGGCUCUGCCCCUUCCAGUCACUCAGCUGCAUUGCCUGCACCUGAGCUCCCUUGGGUUGGCCCUGUCUUCCCACCAGGUUCUCAAGGACCGUUUCAGGCCAUGACUUAGCAUUUCUGCUACAACAAUUGAACAGAAAACAACAUUCAUAGCCAUUUCCUGACGUGCUGAACCCUCUUCUCAAUGAUUUAUGGUGAGAUAAGAGAUCGAAUCUGAGGUUUUAUUUAGAAAGGCCACAGGAAGAAUUUGCUCAAUUCUGAGACAGGGCAAUUACCUACCUCUUAAGAGAAAUUCAACUGCUGUGUCCUUAAGAACUAACUAGUUUCCAACAAAUCUGAUUUCCAGAUGUGAGUUUGCAAUGGCAAUUUUUUCCCCCCUCUGUAAUGACAGAAAGACCAACACAAUGAAAAGUCGUUACAAUGGAGAUGUAAUGACAGAAAGACCAGUGUGCUGGAAAGGUGUUACAAAGGAAAGAAAAAUAAUUGCUCAUCUGUCUCUGAGGAUCUAGGUUGGCAGAGGAAACUCUGCAUAGGAGGGAUCUCCAGAAAGAGACACUUAAAUGAAGGGUAAGGGAGGUGGAGCCAGGCUCCACCCUCUCUGGUCACACAGGUGAAUUGCCUUCACCUGUACUCCCAGGACUGACCUGGUCUUUUCCCCAGGUGCUCAAUACAUGGUUCCCACCCUCCCAGAGUAUUGAACUUAUUUUCCUUAAAAAAUAUCUAGAAAAAAUCCUUUUUUCUGUGGCCAAAAUUGUUAAUACCACAAUAUGUGCUCCACUUGGAGAAUUCUUAGUUUUCUUUACACCACGGAAGAUUCACGCUGUUUAGAAGGCCCACCUGCAGAAACAGCCAAGAAUUUCAGAAAUUUUCAGAAAGUAGAAUUCACCUUUAAGAUUUUUCAGGGAUCAAAGGACUAAACUUAGUUUCCCUUUCAGAUGGAUUUGCUUAGAGGUGGACUGACCUUCUCCUGUGAAAUCAUGACCAACUAUGUGCUCAGAUAAGUGUUUAACAACAUUGUCAUGCCAUCAUCACCCUAUAAGAUCUCUUUACUCAUGAAGCAAUUACCACCUUCUUCAGGCAGCAUUUAUUGCCUGAUGGGAACAAAGUGAAAUUUUAGCUUGUAAGACGAGAAGAAUUUGAGUAGAAAUGAUCAUUUGGAAAAAGAAAAAUCAAAAAGUAACCUAAAAGAAAAUAUAAUGUCUAGCAGCUAAGGGAUUAACUGCCGUGGAGAAGGUCUGACUCCUUACUCUCCCAAGCACUUCUGUAGGAUAUUUGAGCUCCUAUGUUUCUAGAUUUGAUAACCCUAUAUUAAAGCACUUAGGUUCUCUAUGUGGUGCAAAAAGGCUGUUGGAUUGCGUAUUUUUAUGGCCUCCUCAAACAGCUGUAAUUGUG